RNAcentral lists this long non-coding RNA (4970 nucleotides) under Gallus gallus (chicken). The record is from RNAcentral. Lineage: Eukaryota; Metazoa; Chordata; Aves; Galliformes; Phasianidae.
CUAGAAGUCACAGUGCCUCUUAAUGGCUUUUGUUUGAAAACAUUUUUGAAAAUUCAGCCAUUCUAACCAGGAGGAUUCAUGAGCUUUUUAAGAAAACAAAAUGUGGUUUUACAAUUUAUGUCACUACAUGAACUGGACCAGUGCUUGGAAAAAAACAAUUUUAUUUUUUCUAUGUAAAGAGAUGGAUAGCAGCAUAGGAACUCCACUGGAAUAUUUAGCUGUUUAAGUCAGUCUAUACUUUAGUUCACUUUGUUAUUAGUACUCAAGUUCAUUUUUACAGAGAGUGCGGAGUACUGUUCUUUUAAGUGCAGCUUACAAACACGAGCACUUCAGCUACCUGAAAUGUUUGGCAUCGGGCUUUCUUAAAAACAAGCAAACAACAGUGAGCUAAUGUUCCUUCAGACAUCUCUAAUUUGAGUAUGUGCAAUUUCAUAUCUAUUUUCACUUAUUUGACUUGGGGUUUACAUAUACAGUUACUUAAACAAAAAUACUUGUAGGUGCUACAUAGUUUGUUUUAAAACAAUCAAGAUUUGCAGUGGUUAGGCAUCAAGAACCUCAUGGGGUUUGUGCGAGACUAAUGUCUUCUCUGAAGAGCCCACAAGCUAAUAUUUGUAUGAUUAACAAGAGUAACUUAGUAGUUUAGACAACUAUUUUCUUAACUAAUGACUGACGUAAAUCUGAAACAUUUCUUGCAGUACCAAGAAGCUGUUAGUAUGAUUGAAUUGUGGUGAAAACAGGAGUACAACAAUUACAGAAAUACAUGGAGGCAGACAGGGCAAGUUUAUUGAGAGGCUCUUAAGCUUACUUUUACCUAUUAUGUUUUGAACUAUGAGUUCCCUUCACAGCAUAACGAGUAGUGUCAAGUAUUUUGUUAAUGCUUCAGUGUGAUUAUUUAGAAUUGGUUGUGCCUUCCAGUCAUUCAGCAUUCAAGGCUUUGAAGAGAAGCUGCUGGCAAAGCAGUACUAUUUGCAGGGCUAGUUGCAGAUUUGAGCACUUCACAGUGGAAUUUCCAUGCGUUGAAAAACUGAGAUAUAUCCAUUUGCUAUCUAUUUUCACUGUUCGCUAUCUAAUUAUCUAUUGUCAGAACAUCCAUCAGCAAGUAGUAGUGGCUUGGGACACAGCUUUUUCUAAAACAUGAUGAGGUUGCAGGUUUAAUUUUUUUAUUAAAAAAAAAAUGCUGCUUUUGUUUAGCUUGAGCUGCUUGGUGUAGUGUGGGAGAUGAGAAGUUAGUGAUUUUGUGGGCACAAAGGUGGUUUUUCAUCAGGGAAGAGACAAUAAAACCUCUCAGAUUCUUGUGAAUUCGUGCCCUGGCUGAAUCGAACCAUGGGAAUCCAACUGCAGAAGAUGUUCACAAGCAGCAACACUGGUGAAGCUUAAUGUGUUUUGUAAUUUCUUUUGAGAAAACAAUCUUAGGUUCAGAUAAUUCUUGGUGGUGGACAGGUACACAGUAUAAACAAAAACACACACAGGGACUUCAGAUCGUUUAACGGGUCUUCAAAAUUAACCCAUAUGUUAUAACUUAAGACUUUCUUUACGUUGUAAGAGGUUCUCAAAUUGCUUGUGAAGAUGAUGCAACAGUAAAUGGAGUUGCAAAAGCACAAAUCUGUAUUAAGAAUGCAGACAAAUGCAAGAGCAUUUUCAACCAGCUUCUUUGGUCAACACGCAGUAUUGCAACUGCAGGAAAGACUUGAUGGAUAGCUAAUUCAGGGCAAACACUGACAGCAUGUCAACUGGACAGCACACCUUUUGAGAGGCAGGAGAGAGAAACAUUAUUUGUAUAAGAAACUCAUUUCUGCAGUUUCAAAUUUAGGCUUGAAAAUGGAAGAUUCCUCCUCACUAAGAUAACUUAGGCGACAAUGAAAGAUAAACAGAUUAUUGAAGAUAAACUUUAGAUGAAAGACAAAGCCUGAAUUCAGAAAGGCACUUGGACUGCAGUAAUAUGAGCUAAAAAGUGCAGUGUAAAGUAAAAAUACAGCAGGAACCCUCACGUUUGUUAAGAAAUAUUUCAAAAGAGGGAGAUAAGAAUUCCCUGUUCCCUACAUGCAGUUUUGCUGGUGAUCUGAAAAAAACGAGGCAUACUGCACUUCCUGAUACAAACGUAUGAUGAAGUUAAUGAAAUAUGGCCACUUUAACUGCAUUUUCAAGUAUACCACUUCUAACUGUAUUUUAACCGUACAAACUAAAGCAGCAAGUAGAAAUCACAUUUUCCUUCUUUGAAGCACAGGAGAGGUAUGAUUGUUUGGUAUCUACUUAGAAUUCCCAGUCUAUAUCGUGUUGAGUUGCAGUAAUACAUCCAACUUCAGCCUCAGCUGCUGCCGAGGGCAGCGUCAAGAACUCUGAUCUGUUGUUUUGAACAGGGGGCGGUAAUAGGGACAGUAGCGAGUUCUGGGUUUGUUCUUUUACCUGUUUGAAGAAUGUAUGAGAAAGCAAACUGCUUGCUGAUGGCCUUUUCUCAGGGUCCUGCUGCAAGCAAAGUUCUACCAAGUUGUAGAAUGCAGGGGAAAAUGUUUUGGAAGCAGGAUUUUGUAGUCUUUCGCUCGUCAUUGUGCGUGUCAUACUCUCACUAAUUCCAGAAUCAACACCUGAUUGGGAAUUCUUCAUUCUGGAUUCCCCAUGGGGGAAGGCAUUUAUAUCCCAAGGAUAGUAUGUGGGACCUUUCAGCUUCUGCAGCAGCAUCUGAGUGCGAGGCAUAUCUUGAAAUGGAACGUGUCCAUUGGCUAAUUCACAUGCUGUUAUUCCCACGCUGUAGAUGUCAGACUUCAUAUUAUACCCAGACAAAUCCUGGGGGAGAAAUAAAACUUUACUGGACCACUGAAGCUGCUGAUGGGUGCAAAAGGAAACACAAAAACCAGUGUCAAGACAAUUCUAAAACUCUGUCAUCCACACAGGACUGAGGCAGUUAACACAUUGAAACGGGCUUUUUUUCAGAAAUGUGAUGUUGCACUGAAGACAGGAUCUGCUCUAGUUUUCACGAAGAGAAUUGGGCAGAGAUUCAGUUGUAAGCAUCACCUUACCAACAGCCUCAAAACCUAUUCUCUUUAGGAGAAUCACAAAUUCAGUACAUCUGGGUUUUUUUGCUUUGUUUUUAAGUUGCAGUUCAACAGUUUCUAUUGCACUUCUACAAGCAGAUAUAAGAUAGAAGUCAAGUACUUCCUGUUACCUUGGAAUAAGAAGAAUGAAGUAUAUUUUACACUAACCUGUCUCAGUAGUUCAGGGCUCAGCCAAGGAAGUACAGAUGUACUAAACUGAGGGAAGUCAUACACCACCUUUGACUUUUGUCCAUUGUUAACUAAACUGUAGAGGUUGUUUAAGCCAGAGAGAGAAACCAGUCCAUCCCCUGAAAUCAGAAUGUGGCUAGCUUUAAUAUUCCUGUAACAAAAAGUGGUACAUUUUAGUUACACAAAUCACUCAAAGCACUACUAAAGUAGAAAUACGAAAAUCUUUCAGUAAUUUAUAUUGAGGGGUUUACAGUUCUGUUUAGCAGAUUAUUUUCAUGGGUGGUCUUCACUUAACAUGAGUGGUCUUUCUAAUACACCCUGAGAGAUAGUUAGCAAGAAAAACUGACUGCCAGACAUCAGAGAAGGGUAUUCUUUCCUUCCCUGCAAAGAGGGUAAAGUAAGGAAGAAUUUAUCUAUCCUGCUAUAUUAUUCAAAAACAAACAAAUCUAACAAAAACCCCUGCUGCUGCACUGUGCAUCUGCUAUAUGAAAUAUAUGGAAAAAAGGAAAGGAGACAACAGUUGAACCGAACAUGGGUUUUGAAGUGAAACUAAAUUCCUAAUAAAGUAGAUGCUGUCAUCUGAUUCUUACCGAUGGCAUUGACGUUGUCCUACCUGUGAAUGUAGCCAUUCUGGUGCAUGUAAUUUAAUCCUCUGAUUGCACCAAACAGAAUGUUCCCUAUCAAAGCUUCACUCAUUCCUUCAGGAAAGUAAGUCUUCAGCAGGUGUCUAGCAGAACCUGGGAGCAGGGAGAAAAAAAUACACUAAGCCUAACAAGCCACCUUAAACUUAUUUUCUACACCUCUUUUGUUGUAUACAUUUGCCAAGAAAGGUAUUCUCACCUUUAUAUUGACUAUGGUACAUCAGGAACACUUACAUGGAUGCAACUGAAGCAUCCAUCAAUCAUAAGGAUUGCACUCAUGUCAGGCUUGCUAACUAAAAGCCUAUGCCAAACCUGCACUGAAACCAGCAAGUUUUCUAUUCUGUAAGGUCAAAUGCGUCUCCCUCUUAUUAGUCCAUACUUUGUGGGUAUUAGGAUUAAGUGAAAUGUAAUGCAGUUCAAAUGUCAAUCUUUUCUGGGGAGGAAGAUGAUAUACAGAAGACUUAUCUAAACAAGUGGUUUGUGAAAGCGUGUGUCUGUUGGGGUUUUUUUCUUUUUUUUUCCCCUCUCCUUCUCUAUGAGACAGGAGAUUCUUCAAGAAAAAACCCUUGUCAACUGCAUAGCCCAAAUUUCAUCAGUCCUUUUCCUUAUUCCAAAAUUUGCAGUUAGCAGUUCUUACCAUAGGCCAUGAAUGGAGAAAUGACCCAAAGCCAACUACCAGCUGUAAACACUGUCCAAAGCGUCAUUAUGUUGGGAUGCUGGAAAAAGUGGGAUAAAACCACCUCAUUCUAUGGAAUUAAAUGAAAAUGGAUGUAUUAAUCACAAAACAACUGUCCUACUAAGAACAUUAAUUGUGUCAGUAAUCAGUAGAAAAAAACGCCCAGUGUAUUUAUACUAAAUUGCAUGUGAUGAGCAUAGCUGCAAUAGAUAUCCAAAUAGCUUGUGUGUGAUGGCAUUUUUCUGAAGUCUGCUUUGUUCACAGUCCUAAGUUUUGCUGUUAAAUGCAGAGCACAAGAUGUGUUUCAAAGGAAGAGUUAUAAAGUUCCAUGAGUAUUUCUAAAACACUUGUCAACAGUUUCUUCUGCAAGCAAUCUUUCCAAUUUAUACAUGCCUUUUCUAUUCCUUUGAAGAGAAAAUUUGAAUUCAAUCACCC